This 430-nucleotide ribosomal RNA is filed under the name Pseudomonadota bacterium. RNAcentral describes it as "Proteobacteria bacterium partial 16S ribosomal RNA". It matches the Rfam family "Bacterial small subunit ribosomal RNA", at positions 355 to 776 of the family's 1533-position model. Lineage: Bacteria; Pseudomonadati; Pseudomonadota. The record is from RNAcentral.
UGGGGAAUAUUGGACAAUGGGGGGAACCCUGAUCCAGCCAUGCCGCAUGUGUGAAGAAGGCCUUAUGGUUGUAAAGCACUUUAAGCGAGGAGGAGGGUACUGGUAUUAAUACUACCAGGUACUGGACGUUACUCGCAGAAUAAGCACCGGCUAACUCUGUGCCAGCAGCCGCGGUAAUACAGAGGGUGCGAGCGUUAAUCGGAUUUACUGGGCGUAAAGCGUGCGUAGGCGGCUAAUUGAGUCGGAUGUGAAAUCCCCGAGCUUAACUUGGGAAUUGCAUUCGAUACUGGUUAGCUAGAGUGUGGGAGAGGAUGGUAGAAUUCCAGGUGUAGCGGUGAAAUGCGUAGAGAUCUGGAGGAAUACCGAUGGCGAAGGCAGCCAUCUGGCCUAACACUGACGCUGAGGUACGAAAGCAUGGGGAGCAAACAGG